UGCCUGCCUCCGUUAUGAUCUGAGCACAGAAUCUGGCAAAACAGGACUGACUCUGGCCACAGGCUCUGGGCAUUCCAGCAGCACAGCCACUGGGCACAUUAAAAGCAAGGGUGAUGCUGCAAAACGUUUCACUGAGUUUGGGAAGUCCAUAGAAUGGGACAGCUGGGUGUUAGCAGCAGCUUGGCUCAUCUCAGGCACAGGCUCUGCUGCUGGUAUCCAUGAGGUGGCCCAAUGUGAAGCAGCCCCGGAGGCAGCCGGCUCAGGGCAGGCUGUGAGGGUCCCGUCCCAGCAGGCAGUUGGAGUGCAAGGAGCACCCAGUGGCUCCAGCUGGCCUCUGAGCCGCAGCCUCACCGCAUUUCACCCCAGCGCCACGUUGCCCCGUCUGAUUCCAUCUUCAGCUUCAUGCCUGCAGCAGCUGCUGAACUGCCUCUCCUUCCUUGUGAGCACGCUUGGGAACUGCGCCCGGCAGGGCUGCAGCUGGGAUAGCAAGAACCCAGGAUCCUCACUACAGGAGACACUUCCCAAGUGUGUAGCCUUGCUACUGAUGGAUCCUCGGGACAGCAGAAGGCUCCUUACAAGGACCUGGCCCAAGCCAGCAUUUCUGAAAUAAGGGGAGACUGUAACUUGGAGGUGAGGAAAACGCAGAGUCAUCCGUUUUGGGGCUCAGAGUCAGAGCUGGCACUCCAGAACAUCACACAUACCUUUCUGAUAAGCCUUGUGCGGGGGCAGCAGUGAUGGGGACCAGUCCUGUGUGCCACCCUCCAUGGUCCAGCAGGGUGCCCAGAAGCAGCUCUUAAGCUGCCUCUCCCUGGUCUGACAGCUCCCUUUCCCCGGUGGACGAGGGAAGACAGAAAGCUCUCCCAGCAGCACCUGGAAGACGACUUUCUCUCAGCUGGAGUGAGGGCUGUUGGGUUUUCUGGGGUCUCAUCAGCUAAGGCACCAACCGUUUCGGUACCCAGAGUGACAGCAGUCGAUCCAAGCACAUCUGCACCAUCUCUCCUUGCCCAUUUGCCCCAGGGGUGAGGCAGAAAAUACAGCAGUGCACAGGUGAAGCACCCUCGUCCUCAGCAGGCAGCAGGUCUACCCAGCAAAGAUCACACCAUGGUCCAGGCCAAUGAGCAGAGCACAAUCCCACUUCAGGACUUCAACGUUUCCUGGCACCCCUCUUGAGUCCUGCACCCAGUGCUGGACACACACCGUGGGCAGACAGAUGGCACUGAAACCUGACUUGUCUGCCUCCAGUCUCCUGAUUUCAGUUCUUUACUCCUUGCAAAAGUAGAAGCCUUCAUACAUCUCUGAGGCCUGUUCUGUUUAGGAGAGCUAACAUCUCCUCCAGAGCAGGGUUCUGGCUUUUCCUCUCUGGAAGAGCGAUGUUCGUCAAGUGCUGCAGAUAAAGCCCUGCGUCCUGCGGCACACAGUUGGCUUCUGUUGGCACUGUGGUGGCAUUGCCUCACUGCUGCUCUGCCAUCAGGUGCAGCUGACAGUUCCUGCUUGCUUUUGGCUCAUUUUUGUACAGCAGACCGAGACUGGUUCUUCUGGGCAACAUUCCCAAAGCAGUGCCUGCACCUGAGCUGCGAAGUUACCUUUAUUUUCUACCUGCAUAAUCUCUCCUAGGACCAUUGUAACACAAUGGAAAAGCGCAGCAGUGACAGCAGAGCAACAAGAUCCCAGGUUGCAGCAAGCAGGAAUAUACCCGAAUGCAACAGCAGUGAGCACAGAAACAAAGGCAAGAAGCUGCUUGCCUUCAAAAGAUCUUAAGGAUGCAGGAAUCUCAAGAGAGAUACCCUCACCCCCACUGCCAACCCUAGAUGAGGUCUGGAAGGGCUGCAUCGUGGCUCACCCCUUUCAUCACUCAGGUUCAUUGCACGCACCUGAGCUCCCCUGGGCUGGCCCUGCCUUCCCACCAGGUGCUCAAUCACUGCUUCAAGCUGUGACAGCAUUUCUGUUACAACCAUCAAUGUGGCUCCUCCAUCUAGGCCAGCUGCUCAGCUGCAGCAUAAUUGUUCCCAAUGAGAUCAGAGGCAUUGCUCAGGAAAUAUAGCUUCUGAUACAGAAUGCAGACAGAAUGGGGAGAAGGGAGAGAGCAAGAAAGAGCAAGGCAAGCAUGAGAUCUGCAGGGAGAAACCAUCACCAAGUCAACACCUUCAUAAGAAGAGAACUGCUCAAGGCACAGUAGAGUCCUCAACAGUCAAGCAUCAGAGAGUUAUAGAGUGCUUAGGGUUGGAUGAACCUCUGCAGCCUGCCUGGUCCAGCUCCCUCCCACAUGGCCUAGGGCAAUGUUCACAUAGCUGUUGAAUAUCUCCAAGAAGGAGACUCCAUAAUCUCUGCAAGAAACCUGUGUCAAUGCUCAAUCAUCUACAUGAUAAGGAACCCCAGCAGGUGCAGCAUCUUCUGCAGAUUAAUUAAGCACAGUGGCUGUUCCUUUGUGUGGAUGUGAGCAGCGCCAGGUGCAGGGCAGCCCUCCAGAAUCCAGAAUAUACAGCACAUCCAGAGCAAGGAAUUCAGCAGAGCCAGUGCCAACCAGCAUUCAUACAGCACUGGGAGCUAAGGGGAAGUCAGAGGCAUCAAGUGAAGUAUCCAUG
Tympanuchus pallidicinctus (lesser prairie-chicken) is the source of this 2582-nucleotide long non-coding RNA. RefSeq lists it as uncharacterized. NCBI's taxonomy places the organism in Eukaryota, Metazoa, Chordata, Aves, Galliformes, Phasianidae. The transcript is spliced from 4 exons. The record is from RefSeq and is a predicted model, not a curated record.